CGCCUGGCCGCUGGCUGCGCUAGGACGCACCGCCGCUGGUCGCCUAGGGGUAGUGGGGAAGGCGGAGCGAGAGGGACCGGGAGACUGGCGCUCGCCCGGGCGGCACACGGCAUGUAGCUGUGGGCUCCCGCGCCCUCGUGAAGGUGUCGGGCCGCGGCCCCGCCAUGGCUGGGAAGGACAGUGGGAACCUGAAGACAGUGAGGCUGUGGCGGGACGCCGCCUUGCGCGCCAGGAAGCUGCGGAGCAACCUGCGCCAGCUCACCCUCAGCGCGGCCGGGGGCUGCCCCGGGGCCGGGGCGGAUCAGAUCGACUCCUCCGACGCCCCCCAGCUCGUGCUGCCGGCCAACAUCGGGGACAUUGAGGUGCUGAACCUGGGGAACAACAGCCUGGAGGAGGUGCCCGACGGGCUGGGGUCGGCGCUGGGCAGCCUGCGCGUCCUGGUCCUGCGCAGGAACCGCUUUGCCCGGCUGCCUCCGGCGGUGGCUGACCUGGGCCACCACCUCACCGAGCUGGACGUGAGCCACAACCGACUGACUGCCCUGGGCACGGAGGUGGUGAGCGCCCUGCACGAGCUGCGCAAGCUAAACCUCAGCCACAACCAGCUGCCCAUCCUGCCCGCCCAGCUGGGCGCUCUCGCCCACCUGGAGGAGCUGGAUGUUAGCUUCAAUCGGCUGGCGCACCUGCCAGACUCCCUCUCCUGCCUCUACCGACUGCGCACCCUCGACGUGGACCACAACCAGCUCACUGCUUUUCCCCAGCAGCUGCUGCAGCUGACGGCCCUGGAGGAGCUGGACGUGUCCAGCAACCGGCUGCGGGGCCUGCCUGAGGAUAUCAGUGCCCUGCGUGCCCUUAAGAUCCUCUGGCUGAGUGGGGCCGAGCUUGGCACCUUGCCCGAGGGCUUCUGUGAGCUGGCCAGCCUGGAGAGCCUCAUGCUAGAUAACAACGGGCUUCAGGCUCUGCCCGCCCAGUUCAGCCGUCUGCAGCGGCUCAAAAUGCUCAACCUCUCCUCCAACCUCUUUGAGGAGUUCCCUGCUGCACUGCUGCCCCUGGCUGGUCUGGAGGAGCUCUACCUUAGUCGCAACCAACUCACCUCAGUGCCAUCUCUGAUCUCGGGCCUGGGCCGGCUCCUCACCCUGUGGCUGGAUAAUAACCGGAUCCGCUACCUGCCAGAUUCCAUUGUGGAGCUCACAGGCCUGGAGGAGCUAGUGCUGCAAGGGAACCAGAUCGCUGUGCUGCCGGACAACUUUGGUCAGCUCUCCCGGGUGGGCCUGUGGAAGAUCAAGGACAAUCCACUGAUCCAGCCCCCUUACGAAGUCUGUAUGAAGGGGAUCCCCUACAUCGCAGCCUACCAGAAGGAGCUGGCCCAUUCCCAGCCUGCGGUGCAGCCCCGCCUCAAGCUGCUCCUGAUGGGCCAUAAGGCUGCAGGGAAGACCUUGCUCCGUCACUGUCUCACUGAGGACAGAGUGGAGGGAAACGAAGGAGGGGACAAGGAAAAGAACUACCCACCUUCAUCUCCUCCCGUGAGCAAGGGCAUCGAGGUGACCAGCUGGACAGCUGAUGCUUCUCGGGGCCUGCGGUUCAUUGUGUAUGACUUAGCUGGGGAUGAGAGUUAUGAGGUGAUCCAGCCCUUCUUCCUCUCCCCAGGGGCCCUUUAUGUGCUGGUGGUGAACUUGGCCACCUAUGAGCCACUGCACUUUCCCUCCACGGUGGGCUCCUUCUUGCACCGGGUUGGGGCCCGGGUGCCUCAUGCUGUGGUGUGCAUUGUGGGCACUCACGCAGACCUGUGUGGGGAGCGGGAGCUGGAGGAGAAAUGUCUGGAUAUUCACCGCCAGAUCGCCCUGCAGGAGAAGCAUGACGCCGAGGGGCUGAGCCACCUGGCUCAGGUGGUGGACGAGGCGCUGGCCCAGGACUUUGAACUUCGCUCUGCCAGCCCCCAUGCAGCCUACUAUGGUGUUUCGGACAAGAACCUGCGGCGACGCAAGGCCCAUUUUCAGUACCUGCUCAACCACCGGCUGCAGAUCCUGUCCCCUGUGUUGCCUGUGAGCUGCAGGGAUCCCCGCCAAUUACAGCGUCUUCGGGACAAACUGCUCUCUGUCGCUGAGCACCGGGAAAUCUUCCCCAACUUACAUAGAGUACUGCCUCGGUCCUGGCAGGUGCUGGAGGAACUGCACUUCCAGCCACCUCAGGCACAACGGCUUUGGCUAAGCUGGUGGGACUCGGCACGCCUGGGCCUGCAGGCGGGUCUGACUGAGGACCGGCUACAGAGUGCCCUGUCCUACCUGCAUGAGAGUGGCAAGCUGCUCUACUUUGAGGAUAGCCCGGCCCUCAAGGAGCAUGUCUUCCACAACCUCACCCGCCUCAUUGACAUCCUCAAUGUCUUUUUCCAGAGGGAUCCUGCCUUGUUGCUGCAUAAGCUGCUCCUAGGGACCAGUGGAGAGGGCGAGGGUGAGGGGGAUACCUCCCUCAUGAUGGCACUGCCCACACCGAGCCAGGACCUGCUCCGAGCCACCCAGCUCCAUCAUUAUGUGGAGGGCUUUCUGCUUCAUGGGCUCUUGCCGGCCCAUGUCAUUCGGUUGCUGCUUAAGCCUCAUGUCCAGGCCCAGCAAGACUUGCAACUGCUGCUGGAGCUGCUGGAGAAGAUGGGACUCUGCUACUGUCUCAAUAAACCCAAGGGCAAGCUUUUGAAUGGGUCCACGGCCUGGUACAAGUUCCCAUGCUAUGUGCAGAACGAGGUGCCCCAUGCAGAGGCCUGGAUUAAUGGGACCAACCUAGCUGGACAGUCUUUUGUGGCUGAACAGUUGCAGAUUGAAUAUAGUUUUCCCUUUACCUUUCCACCGGGGUUGUUUGCACGCUACAGUGUCCAGAUCAACAGCCACGUGGUGCAUAGGUCGGAUGGGAAACUUCAGAUCUUUGCAUACAGAGGGAAAGUUCCUGUGGUGGUGAGUUACAGACCUGCCAAGGGGGUCCUGCAGCCAGACACUCUGUCCAUUGCCAGCCAUGCUUCAUUACCAAAUAUAUGGACAGCAUGGCAAGCCAUAACGCCCUUGGUAGAGGAACUGAAUGUCCUACUUCAAGAAUGGCCUGGACUGCACUACACCGUGCACAUUCUCUGUUCUAAGUGCCUUAAAAGAGGGUCGCCCAAUCCCCAUGCUUUCCCAGGGGAGCUGCUGAGUCAGCCCAGACCAGAAGGAGUGGCAGAGAUCAUUUGCCCCAAGAACGGCAGCGAACGAGUGAAUGUUGCCUUGGUUUACCCACCUACACCGACUGUGAUCAGCCCCUGUUCUAAGUAUCUCCAUACUUUCUUGGAAAAUUAAGUGGAAAGGAAUAGUGCUUCUUUCCCUUAUGCCAUCACUUUUACUGUACCCAAUCUGUGACUUUAGGAGCACCAAUUUUUAAGGGAAGAACGUUGGCGAAAAGCACAGAAACCAGUGACUUUUACGGCUGUGGAAUUUCCGUGGAGAAAAGAGAGCAUCAGAACUCACCUGAACCAUCUUUUGUACCUGAACAGUCUGUAAAAUUUAGCAGAGCAUUUUGAAAGCCUCCCACAUCUGGCUGUCAGGCCUGAAGAUAGUAAAUGGCCUAAUUGGAGAGCAUAAUCCCACAUUAUUUAUUAAUACAGAGCCUCUGAUUGCCAAGAACUAGCAAAACUCUUGUUUUAAAGUCUCCAAGAAGCAAAAUUUGAAAAGCAAACCAAACAAAUUGCUUUCUCUUCUCCUAAUUGGGGCCACACAGCAUCUGCUGCAAUAGUAACACAUUCUAGUCUUUGAAGAAUGGAAAGGACUCUGUCUACAUCUGCUGCCUCUGCCUGUUGAGUGGAAAUGUGUAAGACUGUUUCUCACCAGUGUAAGACAGGAAAAGUGAGUCAGCUGGUAUUAUUCUUUUCCUUCUUUUAUAAAGUACUGACUCUUGGAAUGCCACAGUAUAGAAAGUCUCGACACAUGUUUUAAAAGAAAUAACAAACAAGCAAGUGGCUGCAUUGCAAAAAAUCCAUUUUUGUAGAAUAUUUUGUGCCCCAGAAGUUAACUUCACUAACUGCAGAACCUCCAAUUAAACAAGUAUGAUUUCUUAUGAUCAUAAAAUCAAGUGGGAUCAGACCAUUUCUGCAUUUUUAAAUAGUCGAAUAUGAUACCUCAAAUUUGAGAUUUCAUUUUCUUUUAGAAUACAGUCACAAAGUUAAUCUGGUUAAUCCUUUUGUCACAGUUCUCGUGUGUACGCAUGUGUGUGGGGGCGUGUGUGUGUAAGUAUAAGCUGAAUGCUAACAUUGAAUUGCUUUACGGAUCAUUGAAUCAUUGGGCAUAAGAGUUUUUCAAUUGCCAUGAGACAGUUCCUAAACUGUCAGAUUAACUGAUUUUGAUUUUGAAAAAACUCUAGCUUACUCUCCAGGGGACCAUAUUAAAUGGAAAAAAAAAAUACUCCUUGGGGUGACAUACCCUGCAAAAGUGUGUGCUGUUAUUAUCAACAUAAAUGCCCACAUUCUUAAUAUCUGCUAUUUUUUGACAAGUGAUGUUUUGUGCUGUCAUCUGAACCCUAGAGAAGCAGUGUAAGAAGAAAUCUUGGUGUCACAUAUGUUUAAGUAAAAAGGUCAUGGUGAUAGAGGGUCAUGUGACCGAAAGCAGCUCCAGAAAAGCUUGAGAACUUGCUUCAGGGUGAGGGGAGGGUUAGAGAUACAGAAAACACUCUGCUCUACAGGAAUUUUCGCUGUCUGUGCAGGAAAGUCCAUUUCUUCUUUCGCCAUCUGGGAAGACUCAGCCAGCCGAGGCUGACAGGCAAUUCACUAAGCACAAGGGGAGCCUUCCAGCCAAGUAGUCCCUGGCGUCGCAAAAAAACGUCCUCCAAGUUUGUUAUGGUUUCUAUUCCUGCAACUUGUGGUAUCAAAACCACUUCCUGGAAUUGUAAAAGUGCUACCAGAAUAAAUGUUUUUCCCCUUCCAAGAAAAAAAAUGACAGUGCUCAGAUUUGACAGUUGUGCUGUGAACUCUUUUGAAUGAAUAAAAUGGAAAGGGUUUGGUGUCACUCCUGGUGGAGUGUGUGUUCUCUAUCAUGCCACUGUUUGUAAAUUGUAAUUGCGGUUUCCCAUUUAAUUGUCAUAACUGGGCAGAAAAUUAAAAAAAAAAAAUUCAAAAAAGUUCAAUAAAAAUGCAA
Molecule: RNA transcript, 5141 nt
Organism: Rhinolophus ferrumequinum (greater horseshoe bat)
Lineage: Eukaryota; Metazoa; Chordata; Mammalia; Chiroptera; Rhinolophidae
Gene: MFHAS1
Gene name: multifunctional ROCO family signaling regulator 1
Exons: 5
Source: RefSeq, a predicted model, not a curated record